GAUAGGCCGCUGUCGCUACGGUGAUUGGACUCUGACGCAGAGUCAACUAGCCUUGUUCGCGCGGUUCUUCUGGGGGGAUGAACCGGGGCGGUCCGAGCCAUGAGGGGGGAGGCUCGGGCCGCCCGUC
Molecule: non-coding RNA, 127 nt
Rfam family: Streptomyces RNA 3920
About the family: Identified by deep sequencing of transcriptome at the end of exponential growth phase.